GUAGGGUGCGAGCGUUAAUCGGAAUUACUGGGCGUAAAGCGUGCGCAGGCGGUUUUGUAAGACAGGCGUGAAAUCCCCGGGCUCAACCUGGGAACUGCGCUUGUGACUGCAAGGCUAGAGUACGGCAGAGGGGGGUGGAAUUCCACGUGUAGCAGUGAAAUGCGUAGAGAUGUGGAGGAACACCAAUGGCGAAGGCAGCCCCCUGGGUCGAUACUGACGCUCAUGCACGAAAGCGUGGGUAGCAAACAGGAUUAGAUACCCUGGUAGUCCACGCCCUAAACGAUGUCAACUAGGUGUUGGGUGGGUAAAACCAUUUAGUACCGGAGCUAACGCGUGAAGUUGACCGCCUGGGGAGUACGGCCGCAAGGUUAAA
Molecule: ribosomal RNA, 373 nt
Filed under: uncultured bacterium
Lineage: Bacteria
Description: bacterial SSU rRNA
Rfam family: Bacterial small subunit ribosomal RNA
Source: RNAcentral